This 440-nucleotide ribosomal RNA is filed under the name uncultured bacterium. Its description in RNAcentral is "partial 16S ribosomal RNA". It matches the Rfam family "Bacterial small subunit ribosomal RNA", at positions 338 to 795 of the family's 1533-position model. The record is from RNAcentral.
CCUACGGGAGGCUGCAGUGGGGGAUAUUGCACAAUGGGGGGAACCCUGAUGCAGCGACGCCGCGUGGGUGAAGAAGCGCCUCGGCGCGUAAAGCCCUGUCAGCAGGGAAGAAAAUGACGGUACCUGAAGAAGAAGCCCCGGCUAACUACGUGCCAGCAGCCGCGGUAAUACGUAGGGGGCACGCGUUAUCCGGAUUUACUGGGUGUAAAGGGGGCGCAGACGGCGAUGCAAGCCAGGAGUGAAAGCCCGGGGCUGAACCCCGGGACUGCUCUUGAAACUGCGUGGCUGGAGUGCAGGAGGGGCGGGCGGAAUUCCUGGUGUAGCGGUGAAAUGCGUAGAUAUCAGGAGGAACACCGGUGGCGAAGGCGGCCUGCUGGACUGCAACUGACGUUGAGGCCCGAAAGCGUGGGGAGCAAACAGGAUUAGAUACCCUAGUAGUC